GAAACUUUGUAAGAGGCUGUGGGACGUGAGUACACUCCAAGAAAAAAUAAUUGAAGUCAAUUACACACAGCAAAAAAUGUACAGCAUUGGAAAGCAAUGCAGUGACAGAACAAGGAUGUACAGAUCCACAUUCCCCAUCAACCUCACAGAUGGUCCAUCUGUAAGUUGUCACCAGCCUCAUGGGCAACAGUUGUAAGUAACUCUGAAGCCUAGGACUGUAUAUCACAAGACCUUCCUUCAACACAAGCAGGAAAUCAUGACUGAAAUAAACACGUUUUAUCUCAGUAUUAUUUCCCCUGGGUAACUCAAUUCUCAUUUAUCUCCUACAAUAGCAGCUUUUAAUAACCAGGGAGUGCUCGUGUGCAUACAUACACAAACAGCACAGACAGGUUUAUUUGCAGCUCUUUUUUCUUUUUGGUAGCAAUCGAUGUUAUUUCAGGCCAGUUUGAACACUUUCUGCCUAUUAACUUCAGCUAUUCUGAUUUUGCUCACAGCAACGAUAUGGUCAUUAUAUUAACAACAGCGUGGGGGCAGCUGGGUUCAGGUUCUAUUCAGCAGAGCAACAAGGGGGCACUGGCAUUCACAGACGCAGCACUAAAUCUAAAUAUGCAAGGAAUAACAUUAGCCUUUUACAAGGAAGCCUUCAGCAAAAGAUGUGCUUCAGGGAAAAGUUUGCUGUCACUGCAAAAAAAUAUCUAAAAGAAGAACAUUGCCUGGGACCAGUAUAAAGCCUGGAAACACGACUGCAACCAUCUCUGUUUGGAAGCUUUUCAUAUGCUUGUAUGGAUAUGAGAGAAGACACCAGUAUUCAGAUCUUUUUUCCUUUCAUGUUUCAGUCUGACCUUUUCAUCCUAUGCUGAUCAAUUGUAACAGCUGAACAUACUUCCAUCACUACAACAGUUAGAAUUGGUUUGCAGCAACAAUACCUGCUUCAAUAAAUUUCUGAAAGCA
Molecule: long non-coding RNA, 951 nt
Filed under: Phasianus colchicus (ring-necked pheasant)
Lineage: Eukaryota; Metazoa; Chordata; Aves; Galliformes; Phasianidae
Description: lncRNA (ENSPCLG00000017760.1)
Source: RNAcentral